CACUGGGCAUGGGCGACAGUCCAAGUGGGCUGUGCUGGAGUCUGAUCAACAUGAUCAAGCGCCACGGAAAAAUUAUACAGUACGUCCUACGUCACCAUGGUCACGGUUCCUUCGAUGCGCAUAGCAACGGUGCAUGCACACUGUACUAAAAAUCGCAAAAGAAAUCGUCCUCUCCACAGAACCAGUUGCCAGUGGCAACACAUGCAAGUCGCAUACGCGCGUCGCAUGCAUGCACUUGACUUUGAUUCUUCUUUGUUGUUUUCAGUGUUUUCUCUUUCUCAUUGAUCUCGACAGUGUUGUGGUGCUCGUUAUCUUACUGAGACAUCUCUUGUGACCGUGGUCAGUGUCACCAACGGCGCAACGCGGCGGAGCGCCGGGAUCGAGCGUGGAAAAACGCUCUGCAUUAGCAGCUCCUGUAGUGAAAAAUGUUUUCUGCGAUGGCACGUCCAAAGUCAACAGAGCCAAGGUGCAAGCGAGCAUGAGAGAUUUCGUAUAGGAUGUGAGCUCAAGACGAUAAUGUGGGCAAAUGUAAAACUACCAACUGGAGUGUGCUCUGGUGUUAGGGACGUGUCCCAAAGUGUCAUCACAUGGCUGUGGAGACUAGUACACACAUGGAGGAAUAUUUCUACAACAGUGAUACGGAGUGAUAUGGAGAACAGAUGGAUGGAUAGAAAAGAAAACUGAGAUGAUGGGAACGCUUCCAAAGACCCUUGGAGUGCCUGAGGACAUUGGUCACAUCGUACGGGAGCGACGUUUGCGCUGGCUUGGACACGUGACACGGAUGGAAGAUCACAGGUUGCCCAAGUGUGUUCUCUUCGGUGAACUGCCUGCCCCGCGUCCCGCGCAUGGUCCAGGCAAGAGGUGGAGGGACGUCAUUAUGGAUGACGUUUCGUCGGUUGAGCCACCGGUACCAACAUGUUGAUGGUACGGUGCAGCCCAGAACAGUCCGGAGUGGCGUACCAUUGCCCGUCGACCACCCAAGGCACCCUCUGCUGCUGGCUACGGUUGCGCCUGCGGCCGCAUGUUCCGUCGAAGCGGCGACCUGAAACGCCAUCAGUCGUUCUGUUGUGGACUGGAGAAAUAACUAUGCGCUAUCAUUGCUACGCAAUGGGCAAGGUCAAGGUGUGUGUGUGUACAGCAUGUGUGUGUGUGUACAGUAUGUGUGUGUGUGUAUGUGUGUGUGUGUGUGUGUACAGUGUGUGUGUGUGUGUGUGUGUGUGUGUGUGUGUGUGUGUGUGUGUAUAGUAUGUGUGUAUGUGUGUGUGUGUGUGUGUGUGUGUUUGCACAGUAUAUGUGUGUGUGU
This is a long non-coding RNA of Sycon ciliatum, 1303 nucleotides long. RefSeq lists it as uncharacterized. Lineage: Eukaryota; Metazoa; Porifera; Calcarea; Leucosolenida; Sycettidae. The transcript is spliced from 3 exons. The record is from RefSeq and is a predicted model, not a curated record.